UUGUUAGCCGCCGCGGUAAUACGUAGGGUGCAAGCAUUGUCCGGAUUUAUUGGGCGUAAAGAGCUCGUAGGCGGCUUGUCACGUCGGAUGUGAAAACUCGGGGCUCAACCCCGAGCCUGCAUUCGAUACGGGCUAGCUAGAGUGUUGCAGGGGAGACUGGAAUUCCUGGUGUAGCGGUGAAAUGCGCAGAUAUCAGGAGGAACACCGGUGGCGAAGGCGGGUCUCUGGGCAACUACUGACGCUGAGGAGCGAAAGCGUGGGGAGCGAACAGGAUUAGAAACCCGUGUAGUCC
This 292-nucleotide ribosomal RNA is filed under the name uncultured bacterium. RNAcentral's name for it is "partial 16S ribosomal RNA". It matches the Rfam family "Bacterial small subunit ribosomal RNA", at positions 505 to 796 of the family's 1533-position model. The record is from RNAcentral.